This 716-nucleotide ribosomal RNA is filed under the name Klebsiella pneumoniae. Its description in RNAcentral is "partial 23S ribosomal RNA". It matches the Rfam family "Bacterial large subunit ribosomal RNA", at positions 911 to 1629 of the family's 2925-position model. Lineage: Bacteria; Pseudomonadati; Pseudomonadota; Gammaproteobacteria; Enterobacterales; Enterobacteriaceae. The record is from RNAcentral.
UGUUUCGGCUAGGGGGUCAUCCCGACUUACCAACCCGAUGCAAACUACGAAUACCGAAGAAUGUUAUCACGGGAGACACACGGCGGGUGCUAACGUCCGUCGUGAAGAGGGAAACAACCCAGACCGCCAGCUAAGGUCCCAAAGUCAUGGUUAAGUGGGAAACGAUGUGGGAAGGCACAGACAGCCAGGAUGUUGGCUUAGAAGCAGCCAUCAUUUAAAGAAAGCGUAAUAGCUCACUGGUCGAGUCGGCCUGCGCGGAAGAUGUAACGGGGCUAAACCAUGCACCGAAGCUGCGGCAGCGACACUAUGUGUUGUUGGGUAGGGGAGCGUUCUGUAAGCCUGCGAAGGUGUGCUGUGAGGCAUGCUGGAGGUAUCAGAAGUGCGAAUGCUGACAUAAGUAACGAUAAAGCGGGUGAAAAGCCCGCUCGCCGGAAGACCAAGGGUUCCUGUCCAACGUUAAUCGGGGCAGGGUGAGUCGACCCCUAAGACGAGGCCGAAAGGCGUAGUCGAUGGGAAACAGGUUAAUAUUCCUGUACUUGGUGUUACUGCGAAGGGGGGACGGAGAAGGCUAUGUUAGCCGGGCGACGGUUGUCCCGGUUUAAGCAUGUAGGCUGGUUGUCCAGGCAAAUCCGGAUAAUCAAGGCUGAGGUGUGAUGACGAGGCACUACGGUGCUGAAGUAACAAAUGCCCUGCUUCCAGGAAAAGCCUCUAAGCAU